Non-coding RNA from Labrus bergylta (ballan wrasse), 202 nucleotides. NCBI's taxonomy places the organism in Eukaryota, Metazoa, Chordata, Actinopteri, Labriformes, Labridae. The record is from RefSeq and is a predicted model, not a curated record.
CUCAGGCGUACCUGCACUGCUACGAGGAUAUGAAACCACCAAAAAGCACAUCUCUGCAGUGAAACACGGUCUUCCAAGACGCUGAAUGAAUGAAAUUUGAGAAGGGUCCAGGAUUUUCUGGUCAUGGCCAUCAGUGGAAGGGAUCCCAAUCCAGGCUGUGUGCAACUGCAAAAGGCUUCUUCAAGAUCAGUUAGCACUGUGG